UGUUCCUACGGGGCGCAGCAGUGGGGAAUAUUGGGCAAUGGGGGAAACCCUGACCCAGCGACGCCGCGUGAGGGAAGAAGGUUUUCGGAUUGUAAACCUCUGUCCUUGGUGACGAUAAUGACGGUAGCCAAGGAGGAAGCCACGGCUAACUCCGUGCCAGCAGCCGCGGUAAUACGGAGGGUGCGAGCGUUAAUCGGAAUUACUGGGCGUAAAGCGCUCGUAGGCGGUAUGUCAAGUCAAGGGUGAAAUCCCCGCGCUCAACGUGGGAACUGCCUUUGAAACUGGCAAACUGGAGUGUGUGAGAG
This 305-nucleotide ribosomal RNA is filed under the name uncultured bacterium. Its description in RNAcentral is "bacterial SSU rRNA". It matches the Rfam family "Bacterial small subunit ribosomal RNA", at positions 334 to 656 of the family's 1533-position model. The record is from RNAcentral.